GGUUUGUGGCUCAGUGGUAGAGCGCUCACCUAACACCUGCGAGGCACUGGGUUCAAUCCUCAGCACCA
RNAcentral lists this transfer RNA (68 nucleotides) under Marmota monax (woodchuck). RNAcentral describes it as "tRNA.Val". Lineage: Eukaryota; Metazoa; Chordata; Mammalia; Rodentia; Sciuridae. The record is from RNAcentral.